Molecule: ribosomal RNA, 465 nt
Filed under: uncultured bacterium
Lineage: Bacteria
Description: bacterial SSU rRNA
Rfam family: Bacterial small subunit ribosomal RNA
Source: RNAcentral
GGAGGAAAGUAGGGGAUCGAAAGACCUUAUGCUUUUGGAGCGGCCGAUGUCUGAUUAGCUAGUUGGUAAGGUAAUGGCUUACCAAGGCAACGAUCAGUAGUUGGUCUGAGAGGACGACCAGCCACACUGGGACUGAGACACGGCCCAGACUCCUACGGGAGGCAGCAGUGGGGAAUUUUGGACAAUGGGCGCAAGCCUGAUCCAGCAAUGCCGCGUGAGUGAAGAAGGCCUUCGGGUUGUAAAGCUCUUUCAGUUGAGAAGAAAAGAUUGUAACUAAUAAUUGCAAUCCAUGACGGUAUCGACAGAAGAAGCACCGGCUAACUACGUGCCAGCAGCCGCGGUAAUACGUAGGGUGCGAGCGUUAAUCGGAAUUACUGGGCGUAAAGGGUGCGCAGGCGGUUUUGUAAGUCAGAUGUGAAAUCCCCGGGCUUAACCUGGGAACUGCGUUUGAAACUACAAAGCUAG